CACGUAGGGCGCAAGCGUUGUCCGGAAUUAUUGGGCGUAAAGAGCUCGUAGGCGGUCUGUUGCGUCCGCUGUGAAAUCUCGGAGCUUAACUCCGAAACUGCAUUCGAUACUGCCGUGCUUGAGGACUGGAGAGGAGACUGGAAUUUACGGUGUAGCGGUGAAAUGCGUAGAUAUCGUAAGGAAGACCAGUGGCGAAGGCGGGUCUCUGGACAGUUCCUGACGCUGAGGCACGAAGGUCAGGGGAGCAAACGGG
Molecule: ribosomal RNA, 253 nt
Filed under: uncultured bacterium
Lineage: Bacteria
Description: partial 16S ribosomal RNA
Rfam family: Bacterial small subunit ribosomal RNA
Source: RNAcentral